RNAcentral lists this ribosomal RNA (103 nucleotides) under Elaeagnus angustifolia (Russian olive). Its description in RNAcentral is "partial 5.8S ribosomal RNA". The record is from RNAcentral. Lineage: Eukaryota; Viridiplantae; Streptophyta; Magnoliopsida; Rosales; Elaeagnaceae.
UUAUAUGAGAACACGUGUGAGAAUUGCAGAAUCCCGUGACCCGAGUCUUUGACGCAAGUUGCGCCCGAAGCCAUCCGGUUGAGGGCACGUCUGCCUGGGCGUC